Apis laboriosa (Himalayan honeybee) is the source of this 2450-nucleotide RNA transcript. It is a transcript of the gene named choline-phosphate cytidylyltransferase A-like, with no coding region annotated. The record is from RefSeq and is a predicted model, not a curated record. The transcript is spliced from 10 exons. NCBI's taxonomy places the organism in Eukaryota, Metazoa, Arthropoda, Insecta, Hymenoptera, Apidae.
UGCUAUUAUUUCGUCCCUGAUAAUAUACUGAAAAUGUGUAAUACGUAGUAUCCACAAGUGUUAUAGCAGUUGUGUGUGUCAGUCGUGAAAUAGUAUUUUAAAAUAACAUAAAAUGUGAAAUUUCUCUAAAAAUUUCCAAGAAUUUGUUUUUUAAACUUUUCUAUAAAAAUCCGAUAAAUCAAAUAAUGAGUUCAAUAAACUUCUAGCGGAACUCUGAUUUUUCGUCAUAUCCUAUUACUUAUCUUUAUAGUCAAUCGUCGUGUAUACAGAAAUUAGGGCGUGAAAAGGUUCGUUUAGUUCAAUUGGAAUUUAUAAAAAUUUAAAAAGAAAGUACAUAUAAAAUUAAAAAAUAUAUGUAAAAAUAAAUUAUAAAAAGCCGAGUGAACAAGUUACUUGAGAUUAUACAUUAUUAUUAAAUUUUAAAUAUUAUAUCUUUGAUUGAUUAUAUCUGGUUAUAUGAUGUUUUCUGCAUUCUUCUUUUUUUAACUAUAAAACAUAUUUUAGCAACAUGCUAUUGUUUUACAAGGAAUAAAUAUAUAAAAAAUUUUAUUGAAUCAUAAUAUGUAAUAACCAAACAUGACUGGUUCACAAAUAAUUCGGCACAUCUCUAAUUGUUUCCUGGAGAUUAUACGAUUAUUCAUGAAUAUUUUAUAAUCAUAAUGAUUCGUAAUCAUAAAAUUAUAAUAAUGACAUUGAUCAAUAAUUUUAAGAUAACUUGUGAAAACCAGGUUUUUUAUGGACCUAACAUUGAAGCAGUAAAAAAUGUCUAGAAAGCGUGCUAGAGAAGAAACUAUGUUGAAUUCUACAUCAUAUUCAAAUAUUCAAAAUGGAGAAGAUGCAUCUUGCUCCAGGGAAGAUUCACCUAUAUAUCCUCUAGUGACAAUGACUUGGAGAAGCAACAGGAAUUCACAUAAUGAAUCAGGUCAAAUUUCACUGAAAAAGUAUAAUAGUGAAAUUUCUAUUUACCACAAAGAACUUCCAUCAAUUUGCAAGGAAGCACCUUUUAGUGAUGAUCCAGAAGCACUUGCUGAAAGAAAUGCCUGUGAUUAUAACAUUCGCAUUACAUUAAAAAUGGCAAAAAGUGGUAAAGCUCCUAGAAAAAUCAGAGUCUAUGCAGAUGGUAUUUAUGAUCUAUUUCAUCAAGGACAUGCACGGCAACUUUUACAAGCAAAAAAUAUUUUCCCUAAUGUAUAUCUUAUUGUAGGAGUUUGUAAUGAUCAGUUAACACAUAGUAAAAAAGGAAGAACAGUUAUGACAGAUGUUGAAAGAUAUGAUGCAGUAAGACAUUGUCGUUACGUAGAUGAAGUGGUUAGAGAUGCACCUUGGGAACUGGAUGAUGAAUUUCUUAUAAAACAUAAAAUCGAUUUUGUUGCUCAUGAUGAUAUACCUUAUAUGACAGAUGAUAGCACAGAUGUUUAUGCUGCCUUAAAGGCUAAAGGUAUGUUUGUAGCUACACAAAGAACAGAAGGAGUAUCAACAUCCGAUAUUGUUGCAAGAAUAGUUAAAGAUUAUGAUAUUUAUGUAAGAAGAAAUCUUGCGCGAGGCUAUAGUGCAAAAGAACUUAAUGUUUCUUUUCUCAAUGAAAAGAAAUUUCGUUUACAAAAUAAAUUUGAUGAUUUAAAAGAUAAAGGUAAAAGAGUAAUGGAGAAUAUUGGUGAAAAACGUAUGGAUAUGAUUAGCAAAUGGGAAGAAAAAUCUCGAGAUUUUAUCGAUGCUUUUCUACUUUUAUUUGGAAGAGAAGGUAGAUUGUCAACAAUUUGGAAUGAAAGUAAAGGUCGUUUAAUGCAAGCAUUAUCUCCUCCUGCAAGUCCAAAAAGAGAUGGCAGUCCAAAUGGCAGUAAUAGCAGCAAUAAUGAUGAAGAUCAGACAAGGUACAUCACAGCAUUCGAGUCAAUUGACUAAUAUGCAACACCACUUCAUUCUGUACUGCUUCUAUAUGAAAACCUUCAAUACUUCACACCACCCAUUUGCAGCAUGUUAUUCCACCACCGAAAAAGACUGGCCGUUUUGAAUAUUCGCAGAGUAAUUAUUAUUUAAGCGAUGAUUAUAGCGACGAUGAAGAAGAAAAUUUGCACUCCAAAUGAUAACCUCUUUUUUCAAAAUCACAUUCAUUUUGACCAAAAAUAUCGUGCAAUCUCUUUAAAAAUGUUUAAAAAUAAUUUUAUGCAUCUAUGUGAUUUAUUAAUAUGGAUUAUAAUGUUAUGCUUAAUAAUUUUUUUAUGCUAUGAUUUCAUACUACAUACGAUAUAAAAUUAUUUGUUGUAAUAAUUUCAUUCAAUCCAAUCAUGCAUUAUUAUAUAUUAAUUAGAUUAUAUAUAUGCAUGAACAUUACAGAAGUCAUAUAGAUUACUUAAGUCGUUAUAACUAUUCUUGAGAGUUUCAUUAUCAUAUCGUUAUUUAUAUUAUUAAUAAGUUCCUAAAAUCUGGUUUUGAAUGAUAUUAUUGUUCAU